AUUGAACGCUGGCGGCAGGCCUAACACGUGCAAGUCGAGCGGAUGAAGGGAGCUUGCUCCUGGAUUCAGCGGCGGACGGAUGAGUAAUGCCUAGGAAUCUGCCUGGUAGUGGGGGAUAACGUCCGGAAACGGGCGCUAAUACCGCAUACGUCCUGAGGGAGAAAGUGGGGGAUCUUCGGACCUCACGCUAUCAGAUGAGCCUAGGUCGGAUUAGCUAGUUGGUGGGGUAAAGGCCUACCAAGGCGACGAUCCGUAACUGGUCUGAGAGGAUGAUCAGUCACACUGGAACUGAGACACGGUCCAGACUCCUACGGGAGGCAGCAGUGGGGAAUAUUGGACAAUGGGCGAAAGCCUGAUCCAGCCAUGCCGCGUGUGUGAAGAAGGUCUUCGGAUUGUAAAGCACUUUAAGUUGGGAGGAAGGGCAGUAAGUUAAUACCUUGCUGUUUUGACGUUACCAACAGAAUAAGCACCGGCUAACUUCGUG
Molecule: ribosomal RNA, 484 nt
Filed under: uncultured bacterium
Lineage: Bacteria
Description: partial 16S ribosomal RNA
Rfam family: Bacterial small subunit ribosomal RNA
Source: RNAcentral